AACGAACGCUGGCGGCGUGCCUAACACAUGCAAGUCGUGCGAGAAAGUUUCCUUCGGGAAGCGAGUAAAGCGGCGCACGGGUGAGUAACACGUAGGUAACCUACCUUUCAGUCCGGAAUAACCAGCUGAAAAGCUGGCUAAUGCCGGGUAAGACCACGACCUCUACGGGGGCCGCGGCCAAAGGCGGCCUCUUCAUGAAAGCUGAUGCUGAGAGAUGGGCCUGCGCACCAUUAGCUGGUUGGUGAGGUAAUAGCUCACCAAGGCUUUGAUGGUUAGCUGGUCUGAGAGGAUGACCAGCCACACUGGGACUGAGACACGGCCCAGACUCCUACGGGAGGCAGCAGUGGGGAAUAUUGCGCAAGUAGGGGAAACCCUGACGCAGCGACGCCGCGUGGGUGA
Molecule: ribosomal RNA, 399 nt
Filed under: uncultured bacterium
Lineage: Bacteria
Description: bacterial SSU rRNA
Rfam family: Bacterial small subunit ribosomal RNA
Source: RNAcentral